This is a long non-coding RNA of Dermochelys coriacea (leatherback sea turtle), 3285 nucleotides long. RefSeq lists it as uncharacterized. The record is from RefSeq and is a predicted model, not a curated record. The transcript has 3 exons. NCBI's taxonomy places the organism in Eukaryota, Metazoa, Chordata, Testudines, Dermochelyidae.
GACGAACUGAUGUCAACCUCUCCUUCUCAAUCUCAGCUUGAUCAUCCAAGUGAUUCUGCGCUCAUCUGAGAAGUGAUUGCAUUUUCCAACCCCAGAGCUUUCGAAUGCUUGCUAAUCUAGAGGCCCGAGGGCGUGGUGUGGGGCUGUCCUGUGCUCUGUAACUACAGACCUCUGUCAACAGCACCAGACCAAACCACAGCCAAUUCCAGCGCAGAGCUGUCUUCCACACCACGCUGGGUGUCCUCAGGCCUGGUCUACACUUAAAAUGUAACAAUCGACAUGGCUACAUCACUCAGGGGUGUGAAAAAUGUCUCACCCCUAAGCGCCAUAGCUAUGCCAACUUAGCCCCUGAUUAGACGCAGCUAGGUUGAUGGAAGAAUGCUUCUGUAUACCUAGCUAGAGCUACUCACGGAGGAUGCUUAGCCACUAUGAUGGGAGCCAUGUGAGGACCUGAGCAAAUCCCGUUGACCUUAAUAGAGAUCUUCCAUUGACUUCAAUGGCAAUGGAGCCAGUGAUGGAACUAGGGGACGCGAGGGACACAAGCGUACUAGUGUUCGGUAGAGAGAGAGAAAUAGUAGGGCUGAAGUUUGCCCACGUCACAGUUCCAUUCAAUGCAGGGGAGUGUCAGGGAACCAGUUGCAGCUCCCUGAUCCUGCGCCGUCUGCUCUCUGCAUAACUUAGAGAGCUCCUCAACUGCUCUAACUUAUACCAACGGCAUAAGAUCCCUACCAUCAAUGGAGGAUUGAUAUAUCAGAGUUCUCCCCACAGCAUUGGUCCUUAGUCUGUAGCGGUGUAAUUACUCCUGGGGAAAUUUUGCACCAAAAUAUUAAAAAUUCUGUGCACGAUAUUUUAAAAUUCUGCAUAUUUAUUUGUCAAAGUAAUACAGUAUAAUCGUGCCAGUUUCAAUUAUUUUGGUAAUUUUUUCAAAUACCCAUAAGCAAGUACGUCUGUAACCAAUACAGACAACAACAAAAAAGAUUCGGGAAAUGUUUUUGACAAAUAGAUUCUUUACCGGGCAUAUUAAUACAGAACUUUGAUCAUAAUUCAUUUAAACUACAAUACAGAAAUGUAUUUCCCGCACUGUUGAGAAGCAGUGCAAAGGCUUGGGGAUUUCAGGGGUAAUGAAGGAGCUGAGGGAGAGGGAAGUAAUUGCUGGGAAGGAGCCUGGAAGUGAAUCUGGAGGAUUGGUGGAGGUGGGUGGAAGAAGUAUGGAACAGGUUUUUUGUGCAGAGUGGGGAGUUGUUGGGGAACCUCUCCCUAUGCCUCUCCCAUUCAGUCAGGCACAUCUGCCUCUGUCUCCAUGUGUCCCUGCAUCCCCAGUCCCCAUUCAGCCAUGCAUUUCUGCAUAUGUCCCCAUGUGGCCCUGCAUCCUUCCUCCCCCACCCCCCGUCUCCAUGUGGCCCUGCACCCCCACUUCCUAUUCGGCCCUGGGCUCAAAGUUGUCACCCACUAGCUCCUGUGCUCCCACCCCAGUCUGUCCCUCCCAACUAUCCCUCUGGAACAUCAGUCUGUGUGACCCACCCCAGCAACACCAUGUGCCCCGCUCUGCCCUCCUCCAUAUCCCAUGCCUCCUCACCUGGCAGGGCACUGUGAGGAAGGCAGCCUCUGUCUCCUCCCUCUCCGUGGCUGGUUGCUCUAACCGGUGAGCUUGCUGCCCUCUCUUCUGGCAUCACAUCAGCCCCUAGUGGGUGAAAAGUGUAAUUGCAGUCUCCCUUCACCUCCCCAUCAGAAUCAAUUAUUCUACAGGGGGAAAAAAUAUCUCCGGGAGACACUAAUUCUGCACUUGCGCAGUGGCUCAGAAUUCUCCCAGGAGUAAACUAAUGCUGUAGUUUUCGUAAGGUUCCAUCACAGAAUGAUAAUAAAUAUUCAGCAGUGAAGUGUCUGGUUCUCUACACUGAAGCUGCAAGUGUGAAUUUGUAAUACUUUUAUGUAGAAAAUGAUGUAUGCAUUAGCGUAUUGUUUCUUAUCUUAUAAAGCCAGAAGGGACCAUUGUGAUCAUCUAGUCCAACCUCUUGCAUAAUGCUGGCCAUUGGACUUCCCUGAAUUAAUUCUUGUGUGCAUUAGAGCAAAUCUUUUAGAAAAACAUCCAAUCUUGAUUUAAAGAUUGCCAGUGAUGGAAAAUCCACCACAACCCUUGGCAAGUUGUUCCAAGGGUUAAUUACCCUCCUUGUUAAAAAUGUGCCUUAUUAAUAAUCUGUAUUUGUCUAGCUUCAAUUUCCAGCUUUUGGAUCUUGUUAUACCUUUGUCUGUUAGAUUGAAGAGCCCUCUGUUAUUACAUUUCUAGAUAAAUGAUGCUGAAAAUUUGCUCAUUGCUGACAAGAUGUGUUGGUUUCAGUACUAUGAUGUUGAUAGUUGAGUUAAUCUCUGAAGAUCCAAGGAAGCCAAGUUAAGAUUGGGUGGGUGUUGGAAAUUGCUUGGGGUGACUGAGCCUAAUGCAACCUUCAUUGAAGUGAGAGGAAUGCCUGCAAUAAAUCACUGCGAGUUGUGUCAUGUCCUAGUGAAUGAUUAGGCUCCAAGUCACCAAAAUAAAAGUCAGUACUGCCGAUCUCAAGUGUACAGAAGUAAUGAGUCGCAUCUCAAAAAUCAUGAGUAUUUGAUUUGGGUGGUGUGGGGUUUUUUUUUAAUUUUUCUAAUAUUAAAUUUAUAGGUUCUUUAAAUUUCUCUUCUGGUUUGUGAGCCUUUAGGUCACACUCAGGACACAUUUUCAAUGUGUUUUUUUUUCCAAGUGUGUGGGCUAGAAAUUUACAUUUUAUCUAAAUAAACGCCGGUGGUCACUUGAGUCUAGGAGCUGGGGCUUUAAGAAAAACACCAAAUAUCACAAGACUCUCAAUAAAAUCACAAGGGCUGACAAUGGUGCCUGUGCUUACACACAUGGAUAGUCCCAUAGAAGUCAGUGGGCCUAAUUAUAUGCCUAAAAAGAAGCAUAUGCUUAAGUCUCUUGUUGAACUGCGGCCUUGAACACCAGGAAUUAGUUAUAAACCCUAACUCUGUCUUUCCAGACUUUCUAAUGUUUUUAUUACAUAGGGAGGUGUAAAGCAUUUCCUUUGGAAUUAGCUGAAUUAAGUGUGAACAGUCUUCAAUCCUCAACUAUCUCUUCAUGAUUAUAUGUUUUUGUGGGAGUUAUGGGAGAAAGAAGCCCCAAAAAUAUACACCCAAACAUAUACCAAGGGCUGUGAAAUUAAGUAACAAUUUGCUACCAGAAGAGAACAAUUUCUGGAGGCAUUAAUCGAAGCACAGCAGACAAUAAUGCCAUUAUGAUACCAGCAGCUAGGGACAUGGAGACAG